Molecule: long non-coding RNA, 4968 nt
Filed under: Callithrix jacchus (white-tufted-ear marmoset)
Lineage: Eukaryota; Metazoa; Chordata; Mammalia; Primates; Cebidae
Description: lncRNA (ENSCJAG00000085916.1)
Source: RNAcentral
AUCGAGCUGGGUAUGUUUGGAAACCUACAGAACAGUAGCCACAGAAAGACUAUGUGAGACAGAGUCCUAGCCUAUCUGUGCGGCCAGUCGAACCUCAUGUGUUUGCUGCUUUCAUUUCCCCUUGGCUCAGGAAACGAUGGUUUGGUUUUGCAAAGGAAGGCUGGGGACUUCUGCCAGCUUGCUAACAGCCUUGCCCCAUUCAGAUGCAUCGAACUCACAGAACAUCACUCCCCAGCUGCCGGCCCGCGGUUCGGAGAGUGCCUGAAUAGAAAACCACUCAUUUCCCUUCGCAAAAGAGGCGCCCAAAGCAGAUAUUUCAAUAUAUUCCAAUUUAGCCGAGGGAAGCCAGAACAUGGAUGUUGUUGCCAAGGAAACCACCUCGUCCUCCUGUGUGCUGUGCAUACGUGUAUCACUUCAUCUCUCUGCUCUCCAAGAUUGCUAGCAGCAGAGUCAACCUGAAGUUCUAACUACCCUGGUCAUAUAUUUGGCUGGCCAUGGCUGAUGAAGCAGAAAGGACAGGGCAGGAGUACUUGGCUGAUGUGUAGCCAGCAUGUCUUCUCAUGGUGGGUGUUGGUGGUCCCUUGAAUGCAGAUGUGGUUCCCUCCACCAAACUAGGGGUGUAAAGCCAGCUGGCAUCUAAGUCCCUUUGACUUGGUGGUCUCCUUACUUCAUGCAAGCUGCCUGGCCCAGUGGACUUUGCUCAUAUCUCCUGAGGACAAGGUCAUCGCUAGGGGACUGUGUACCCCUUUGCAGGCUCAUCUUGUGUUUCCCUGGCACUGCUUGUUUUCUGGCUUGGUAGUUACCAAAGUGAGUGUUUCCUUGAGACAUGGCUGAGGUGUGGUGCUCACCAACCUUCCAAGUGAACCCAGCCUUUGGGGAUCUGGCCCAGUUCAAACCCAUUCCUAGAAAACCCAGAAGUGGCUGUCUGUGGCCAUAAUACUGAAAGACUAAAGCUUUUUGUGAAAAGGAUGACCUCGAUUGUUUUCUUAAUGCACUGAAAGAUAAAUGAAUAUAAAUGACUGUCUUUUUUGUAUAUAUUAACCCAUUUUUGCCUGAGGUUGCAAUAUUUUGAAUUUUUGCAAACAGAUGUUGGCAUUGACCUUGAGCAAUAGGAUAUAAAUAACUCCCUCAUGCUUAGCUUUCCAAUAAUGUUUUAUACUGUUUUCCAUAAUGGCUGUACUAGUUCCAAUAAUGGAAUGCUAAGCAUACAUGGGAUAACCCCAUUUAUGGGGUAUGUGUGAUAUUUUGAUACAUGCAUACAAUGUGUAAUGAUCAAGUCAGGGUAUUUAGGAUAGCUAUCACCUCAAAUAUUUACCCUUUUUUGUUAGGAACAUUCCAGAUCUUCUCUUAUAGCUAUUUUGAGAUGUAUGCUAAAUUAUUGCUAACUCCAGUCACCUUACUGUGUCAUUGAACACUAGAACUUAAUUCCUCCAACUAUAUGUUGUACCCAUUUUCCAACAUCUCUUUAUUCCCUCUUUACCCAUCCUAGACUCUGAUAGCUAUCAUUCUAUGCUCCGCUUCCAUGAGAUCAACUUUUUUAGCUUUCACAUAUGAAUAAGAACAUGUGGUAUUUUUCUUUCUGUGCUUGGCUUAUUUCAUUAACUUAAUGACCUCCAAUCCAUAAUGCUGAAAACAAUACAAUUUCAUUUAUUUUUAUGGCCAAAUAGGAUUCCAUUGUGUGUAUGUGCUACAUUUUCUUUAUUUGUCCAUUGAUAGACACUUACGUUGAUUCCAUAUCUUGGCUAUUGUGUAUAAUGUUCCACUACACAUGAGUGUGCAGGUAUCCCUUUGAUGUAAUUUCCUUUCCUUUGGAUAAAUGCUCAGUACUGGGAUUGUGAAAUUGCAUGGUAGUUAUAGUUUUAGUUUUCUGAGGAAACUUUAUACUGUCUUCCAUAAUGGCUGUACGUGUGUACUCGUUUAUAUUCCCACCAGCAGUUCCCUUUUCUUUGUGUCCUUGGUAGCAUUUGUUAUUUUUUGUGUUCUUAUUAUAGCCAUUCUAAUUAGGAUGAGAUGAUAUUUUAUUGUGGUUUUGAUUUGCAUUUCCCUCUUGAUUAGUAAUGUUGAACAUUUUUUCAUAUACCUGUUGGCCACUCGUAUGUUUUCUUUUGAGAAAUGUUUAUUCAUGUCUCUUGCCCACUUUUUAAUAGGAUUAUUUGUUUUGGUGUUCAGUUGAGUUCUUUGUAUAUUCUAGACAUUAGUCGCUUGUUGGAUGCAUAGUUGUAAAUAUUUUCUCCAUUCUAUAAGUUAUCUGCUCACUCUCUUCUUGAUUGUUUCAUUUGGUGUUCAGAAGCUUUUAGCUUAAUGUAGUCCUAUUUGUCUAUUUUUGUUUUCGUUGCCUGUGCUUUUGAAGUCUUGGACAUAAAGUCUUUGUUAGACCAACGUCCUGAAAUUUUUCCCCUAUGUUUUCUUCUAGUAUCUGGUAGUUUUGAGUCUUACAUUUCAGUCAAUUCAUCUUGAGUUGAUUUUUGUAUGUGAUGAGAGAGAUGGGUCUCAUUCCCUCCUUCUGCAUAUGGAUAUCCAGUUUUCCCAGUACCAUUCAUUGAAGAGGGUGCCCUUUCCCCAGGGUAUGUUCUUGGUGCCUCUGUUGAAAAUCAGUUGGCUUUCAAUACAUGGAUUUAUUUCUGAAUUCUCCAUUCUGUUCCAUCAUUCUAUGCAUCUGUUUUUAUACCAAUGUCAUUCCAGUUUGGUUACCAUAGGCUUAGAAUAUAUUUUGAUGUCAGGAAGUAUAGUGCCUCCAGCUUUGUUCUUUUUGCUCAAUGUUGCUUUGGCUAUUUGGGGUCUUUUGCGGUUCCAUAUGAAUUUUUAUAUUUUGCAAAAACUUCUGUGAAGAAUGUCAUAGGCAUUUUUUUUUGAUGGUCAUUUUUUCUUUUUUCUUUUUUAUUGCAUUUUAGGUUUUGGGGUAUAUGUGCAGAAUGUACAAAAUAGUUGCAUAGCUACACACAUGGCAGUGUGUUUUGCUGCCUUCCUGCCCUUCAUCCACAUUUGGCAUUUCUCCUGAGGCUAUCCCUCCCCAUCCCCCCCCUGCUGUCCCUCCCCAUUCCCCCCAAUAGACCCCGAUGUGUAGUACUCCCUUCCCUGUGUCCAUGUGUUCUCAUUUUUCCUCACCUGCCUAUAAGUGAGAAUAUGUGGUAUUUCAUUUUCUGUUCUUGUGUCAGUUUGCUGAGGAUGAUGUUCUCCAAAUUCGACCAUGUCCCUACAAAGGACACGAACUCAUCGUUUUUGAUUGCUAUAUAGUAUUCCAUGGUGUAUAUGUGCCACAUUUUCCCAGUCCAGUCUAUCAUCGAUGGGCAUUUGGGUUGGUACCAGGUCUUUGCUAUUGUAAACAGUGCUGCAAUGAACAUUCAUGUGCAUGUGUCCUUAUAGUAGAACGAUUUAUAGUCCUUUGGAUAUAUACCCAGUAAUGGGAUUGCUGGGUCAAAUGGAAUUUCUAUUUCUAAGGCCUUGAGGAAUUGCCAUACUGUCUUCCACAAUGGUUGAACUAAUUUUCACUCCCACCAACAGUGUAAAAGUGUUCCUAUUUCUCCACAUUCUCUCCAGCAUCUGUUGUCUCCAGAUUUGUUAAUGAUCACCAUUCUAACAGGCAUGAGGUGGUAUCUCAGUGUGGUUUUGAUUUGCCUCUCUCUAAUGACCAGUGAUGAUGAGCAUUUUUUCAUAUGUUUGUUGGCCUCAUGUAUGUCUUCUUUUGUAAAGUGUCUGUUCAUAUCCUUUGCCCAAUUUUGAAUGGGCUUGUUUUUUUCCUGUAAAUCUGUUUGAGAUCUUUGUAAAUUCUGGAUAUCAGCCCUUUGUCAGAUGGGUAAACUGCAAAAUUUUUUUCCCAUUCUGUUGGUUGCCGAUUCACUCUAGUGACUGUUUCUUUUGACAUGCAGAAGCUGUGGAGUUUGAUUAGGUCCCAUUUGUUUAUUUUGGCUUUUGUUGCCAAUGCUUUUGGUGUUUUGGUCAUGAAGUCCUUGCCUACUCCUAUGUCCUGAAUGGUUUUGCCUAGAUUUUCUUCUAGGGUUUUUAUGGUGCCAGGUCUUAUGUUUAAGUCUUUAAUCCAUCUGGAGUUAAUUUUAGUGUAAGGUGUCAGGAAGGGGUCCAGUUUCUGCUUUCUGCACAUGGCUAGCCAGUUUUCCCAACACCAUUUAUUAAACAGGGAAUCCUUUCCCCAUUGCUUGUUUUUGUCAGAUUUAUCAAAGAUUGUAAUUGGUUGUAGAUAUGUUGUGUUGCCUCCGAUGCCUCUGUUCUGUUCCAUUGGUCGAUAUCUCUGUUUUGGUACCAGUACCAUGCUGUUUUGAUUACUGUAGCCUUGUAGUAUAGUUUGAAGUCCGGUAGUGUGAUGCCUCCCGCUGUGUUCUUUUUGCUUAGAAUUGACUUGGCUAUGCGGGCUCUCUUUAGGUUCCAUAUGAAGUUCAUGGUGGAUUUUUCCAGAUCUGUGAAGAAAGUCAAUGGUAGUUUGAUGGGGAUAGCAUCGAUUCUGUAAAUUACUUUGGGCAGUAUAGCCAUUUUCACGAUAUUGAUUCUUCCUAACCAUGAACAUGGAAUGUUUCUCCAUCUGUUUCUGUCCUCUCUUAUUUCGUUGAGCAGUGGUUUGUAGUUUUCCUUGAAGAGGUCCCUUACACUCUUUGUAAGUUGUAUUCCUAGGUAUUUUAUUGUUUUUGUAGCAAUUGUGAAUGGCAGUUCAUUCUUGAUUUGGCUCUCUUUAAGUCUGUUAUUGGUGUAGAGGAAUGCUUGUGAUUUUUGCACAUUGAUUUUAUAUGCUGAGACUUUGCUGAAGUUGCUUAUCAGUUUCAGGAGUUUUUGGGCUGAGGCGAUGGGGUCUUCUAGAUAUACUAUCAUGUCAUCUACAAAUAGAGACAAUUUGGCUUCCUCCUUUCCUAUUUGAAUACUCUUUAUUUCUUUUUCUUGCCUGAUUGUUCUGGCUAGAACUUCCAGUACUAUAUUGAAUAGGAGUGGUGAGAGAGGGCAUCCUUGUCUAGUGCCAGAUUUCAA